This 405-nucleotide ribosomal RNA is filed under the name uncultured bacterium. RNAcentral's name for it is "partial 16S ribosomal RNA". It matches the Rfam family "Bacterial small subunit ribosomal RNA", at positions 28 to 526 of the family's 1533-position model. The record is from RNAcentral.
GACGAACGCUGGCGGCGUGCUUAACACAUGCAAGUCGAACGAGUGGCGAACGGGUGAGUAACACGUGGGUGACCUGCCCUGCACUUCGGGAUAAGCCUGGGAAACUGGGUCUAAUACCGGGUAGUGUGGGAUGGGUCUGCGGCCUAUCAGCUUGUUGGUGGGUUAAUGGCUACGAAGGCGCGACGGGUAGCCGGCCUGAUAGGGUGGACGGCCACAUGGGAACUGGGACACGGACCAGACUCCUACGGGAGGCAGCAGUGGGGAAUAUUGCACAAUGGGCGCAAGCCUGAUGCAGCCAUGCCGCGUGUAUGAAGAAGGUUUUCGGAUCGUAAAGCUCUGUUGUUAGGAAAGCGGUAUCUGACCAAGAAGCCAAGGCUAACUACGUGCCAGCAGCCGCGGUAAUUC